UACGGAGGAUCCAAGCGUUAUCCGGAUUUAUUGGGUUUAAAGGGUGCGUAGGCGGAUUGAUAAGUUAGAGGUGAAAUGUCCGAGCUCAACUCGGGAGCUGCCUCUAAUACUGUUGAUCUAGGGAGUAGAUGCGGUAGGCGGAAUGUAUGGUGUAGCGGUGAAAUGCUUAGAGAUCAUACAGAACACCGAUUGCGAAGGCAGCUUACCAAUCUAUAUCUGACGUUGAGGCACGAAAGCGUGGGGAGCAAACAGG
This 253-nucleotide ribosomal RNA is filed under the name uncultured bacterium. RNAcentral describes it as "partial 16S ribosomal RNA". It matches the Rfam family "Bacterial small subunit ribosomal RNA", at positions 524 to 776 of the family's 1533-position model. The record is from RNAcentral.